RNAcentral lists this ribosomal RNA (272 nucleotides) under uncultured bacterium. RNAcentral's name for it is "partial 16S ribosomal RNA". It matches the Rfam family "Bacterial small subunit ribosomal RNA", at positions 85 to 354 of the family's 1533-position model. The record is from RNAcentral.
CCGCCGGCGACCGGCGCACGGGUGAGUAACACGUAUGCAACCUGGCCGUGUCAGAUGGAUAACCGGGAGAAAUCCCGCCUAAUACAACAUAAUGCCGGGAGGGGACAUCCCCUGCCGGCCAAAGGGGCGACCCCGGUCACGGAUGGGCAUGCGGCGCAUUAGGUAGUUGGUGGGGCAACGGCCCACCAAGCCGACGAUGCGUAGGGGUUCUGAGAGGAAGGUCCCCCACAUUGGAACUGAGACACGGUCCAAACUCCUACGGAAGGCAGCAG